Molecule: long non-coding RNA, 337 nt
Filed under: Bos taurus (domestic cattle)
Lineage: Eukaryota; Metazoa; Chordata; Mammalia; Artiodactyla; Bovidae
Description: long non-coding RNA NONBTAT011439
Source: RNAcentral
GUCAUGUUUCAAACCACUAAGUCGGUUGAGACACUUAUUUGUAAAAAUACUUUAAUUUUUUAAAAAGUGCUUUUUAGAAACAAGCUGUUUGAAAAUCAGCUAGAAAUAAUUGAUAGCUUAAACUCUAAAUGUUAGAAUAUUUGCCAGAUUAUAAAAUGGGAUGCAGUAUAAAAUUGUUAACAGUGCUAAAAAAAACCCAAGAGUCACCAGAUUGAUACAGCUUUCCAUUGCCAAGGUGGUCGUGUUGAUAAUGUAAGACAUAAAUUUUAGUAUUACCUACAUUGUAUACCUAAUGGGUAUAUCAUAUUGGCACUGAACAUAUAUAGGAAAUACUAUU